CCACCCUAAUUAUCUGGUAGUCUGCAUUAGAUAGAAAUUAUGUCUAAAGUAUCUGUGCAAUCAACAUAUAUAUUUAGGAAACCUUAACAAUCUACUUAGCUGCAUUCAUAUUCUUUUUUAUCAGAUCCGAAACUAUCUGAUAUUUGUUGUUUUAUGAUCUGUGAUUUGUCUUGUUUUUCUAUCCCUGAUUUAUGAUAGUAAGUCCUUAGAUGAGCAAGGAUUCCAGUAGGCUGGUAGUGUGUUGUUGAUUGGGGUUGGUCUGGGUAAUUGUGUCGAUGCCCAAGUCGAAUUUGUUAGUUGAUUGCCUGAUUUGUUUGGUGCCCCCUUUCUGAUUUGAUUGGGACCUCCCCUUCCACCUCCUUGGAUUAGUUGCUGCUAGUUGGAUGGGUGAUGUUUUCUGGGUAUUUGGAUUUGGAUCCCUUUAAUUUGUUUCCGAUGGCUAGUCAGAUUUACUCCUUCACACCUCCGGUUAAUGAACUUUUUUCAUCUGCAAAAUUCAUAUGCCAAUGACAGUGAGAGUGAUGGUUUUCAUGAAUCGAUCUUAUGGAAGGAGUUAUCUUUUUUUUCCUCCCAUGAUGUUAUCUUGAAAAUUCUAAACUCUCCCUCAUGCCAAAUUAGUUGCCUAGGUUAAGUACAUGAAAAAAUUACUGUUAUGACAGUAGGUAUUCAGGUGUCAUUUCUAUAUCCGUCACAUGUAAUUUCUAUGUAUUUGAGACUUAUAUUCUUUUUUGUCAAUUCUCCUAUUGUAUCCAUGUCAUAGGAGUAUGAUUAAAAGCUGACUGGCUGCUUAUUUUUUAUACGAGUAUGAUUAAAAGUUGAUUGGCUGCUCAUUUUUAAGUUCCACUACAUUUACUCAUUGACUGCGCGCACGCUUAACAUUGAUUCAACGACUGCAAUGAAUUUUCCAUUUGUAUUUGUGGGGUUCCAAUAGCUCCCCCAAAUCUGUAGUUUUGGAAACCUACAAAGUAUUUGAAUAAGUCUGAGCUUUGUGUAUUUGAGACUUAUAUUCUUUUUUGUCAAUUCUCCUAUUGUAUCCAUGUCAUAGGAGUAUGAUUAAAAGCUGACUGGCUGCUUAUUUUUUAUAGGAGUAUGAUUAAAAGCUGAUUGGCUGCUCAUUUUUAAGUUCCACUACAUUUACUCAUUGACUCCGCGCACGCUUAACAUUGAUUCAACAACUGCAAUGAAUUUUCCAUUUGUAUGUGUGGGGUUCCAAUAGCUCCCCCAAAUCUGUAGUUUUGGAAACCUACAAAGUAUUUGAAUAAGUCUGAGCUUUGUGAGCUUUUUUUUAAUUUCUGUCAGCUACAUCUGUGCGGUUCAAAUACCUCCCCCAUCAUCUAUCAAUUUGGAAACCAUAGAAAUAUUUUGAAGAAAUCUGCCCUUUUCUGAAUUUUUGAAAUGGUGACAUUUGCAUAUGAGGGGUUUAGCUAGCUACCCCAAUUUCUGUACCUUUUGAAACCAUAGAACUAUUUUGAAUUAGUGUGCAUCUGAUAAUUUGUUUAAAGUAUUUUACAUAUGUAGAAUCGUUUGUUAUUUUGAAUAUCUGCCAUUUGUCUUAAUGCUGUUGUGCUCUAGCUCCAUUUAUUGACCAUUAUGAAUCAAUACCUUUUGGAACCAGUCCAUAUAUUAUAUUAUUUUUAUUUGGGAAAAGCUAACCAUUAUUUGAGCAUUGUGACACUCCAUCACUCGAUUUUGGAGCUGGCCGAUCUGCCUAGGAGUUGUUUCUGACCCUUCAAUGGUUAGGUGGGCUGCCCGGUGGGAUUCUUUUUUCUUCUUCUUCUUUACUGUUUCUAGGACCCAGCAAAUGUCCUGCUCUUUUCGGAUGGGAAGAGCUGCAUCUUGAAGUUGCAAGUCAUUUCGUACUCCUCUCUUUGGUUUCAGUCAGGUGUGGCAAUUCCCUGGCUUCACAUUUUAUUGGCUGUGUAUAGUGCCCCUUACUUGAAUUUACUCUGAUAAUCUCACUGUCAAUUUAUUGUAUUGAAGCUGUAAUCAAACAAAUACUAACAAUAUUUUGCUUCUACAUUUAAACAACUAGUAUGUAAAACAUAGCUAGCAGUUUGUAAUUAAACAAAAAUGUCAGCUUCUACUUAUGGUCUAUGCAAUCAAAGAAC
Molecule: long non-coding RNA, 2108 nt
Filed under: Setaria italica (foxtail millet)
Lineage: Eukaryota; Viridiplantae; Streptophyta; Magnoliopsida; Poales; Poaceae
Description: long non-coding RNA (SITA_LNC000610)
Source: RNAcentral